RNAcentral lists this ribosomal RNA (467 nucleotides) under uncultured bacterium. RNAcentral describes it as "partial 16S ribosomal RNA". It matches the Rfam family "Bacterial small subunit ribosomal RNA", at positions 28 to 506 of the family's 1533-position model. The record is from RNAcentral.
GACGAACGCUGGCGGCGUGCUUAACACAUGCAAGUCGAACGGAAAGGCCCUGCUUUUGUGGGGUGCUCGAGUGGCGAAAGGGUGAGUAACACGUGAGUAACCUGCCCUUGACUUUGGGAUAACUUCAGGAAACUGGGGCUAAUACCGGAUAGGAGCUCCUGCUGCAUGGUGGGGGUUGGAAAGUUUCGGCGGUUGGGGAUGGACUCGCGGCUUAUCAGCUUGUUGGUGGGGUAGUGGCUUACCAAGGCUUUGACGGGUAGCCGGCCUGAGAGGGUGACCGGCCACAUUGGGACUGAGAUACGGCCCAGACUCCUACGGGGGGCAGCAGUGGGGAACAUUGCACAGUGGGCGGAAGCCGGAUGCAGCAACGCCGCGUGCGGGAUGACGGCCUUCGGGUUGUAAACCGCUUUCGCCUGUGACGAAGCGUUAGUGACGGUAAUGGGGAAAGAAGCACCGGCUAACUACGU